CAAGUCGAACGGUAAAUCUAGUGCUUGCACUAGAUACGAGUGGCGCACGGGUGCGUAACGCGUAUGCAACCUACCCUUUACUGGGGGAUAGCCCGGAGAAAUUCGGAUUAAUACCCCAUGGUAUCUUAGGAUCUCAUGGUUUUAAGAUUAAAGAUUUAUUGGUAAAGGAUGGGCAUGCGUGACAUUAGCUAGUUGGUGAGGUAACGGCUCACCAAGGCGAUGAUGUCUAGGGGUUCUGAGAGGAUGAUCCCCCACACUGGUACUGAGAUACGGACCAGACUCCUACGGGAGGCAGCAGUAGGGAAUAUUGGUCAAUGGACGGAAGUCUGAACCAGCCAUGCCGCGUGCAGGAAGACGGCCUUCUGGGUUGUAAACUGCUUUUAUCAGGGAACAAAUAGCCCAUGCGUGGGAAGUUGAGUGUACCUGAAGAAUAAGCACCGGCUAACUCCGUGCCAGCAGCCGCGGUAAUACGGAGGGUGCAAGCGUUGUCCGGAUUUAUUGGGUUUAAAGGGUGCGUAGGCGGUCGAUUAAGUCAGUGGUGAAAUCCUCCAGCUCAACUGGAGAACUGCCAUUGAAACUGGUUGACUUGAGUACAGACGAGGUAGGCGGAAUUUAUGGUGUAGCGGUGAAAUGCAUAGAUACCAUAAAGAACACCGAUAGCGAAGGCAGCUUACUAGACUGUAACUGACGCUGAGGCACGAAAGCGUGGGGAGCGAACAGGAUUAGAUACCCUGGUAGUCCACGCUGUAAACGAUGAUGACUCGAUGUGUGCGAUAUACAGUACGCGUCU
Molecule: ribosomal RNA, 790 nt
Filed under: uncultured bacterium
Lineage: Bacteria
Description: bacterial SSU rRNA
Rfam family: Bacterial small subunit ribosomal RNA
Source: RNAcentral